RNAcentral lists this transfer RNA (75 nucleotides) under Pseudomonadota bacterium. Its description in RNAcentral is "tRNA-Gly". It matches the Rfam family "tRNA". Rfam says of the family: Transfer RNA (tRNA) molecules are approximately 80 nucleotides in length. Their secondary structure includes four short double-helical elements and three loops (D, anti-codon, and T loops). RNAcentral also lists the same sequence under 2 other names. Lineage: Bacteria; Pseudomonadati; Pseudomonadota. The record is from RNAcentral.
GCGGGCGUAACUCAGGGGUAGAGUGCGAGCUUCCCAAGCUCGAAGUCGCGGGUUCAAAUCCCGUCGCCCGCUCCA